GUAUGGUCCGCCCGUCGGAUUCAGUCCGCCUGCGCGGCGGGGCCGUCGGUUGCGCAUCCCUCGUGGGAGCGCGCCGGCGUCUCGAUCGUCGUGCGGCGGCCGUACUUUCGGCGGGCGGAGCGCCACGACCGGUUCGCGGGCGGCGAGAAACUCUCGGGCAAGGUGACCUCCGCCUCGGCGCAGGAGCAUACAGGCCCGGKGAGCGCAGGCCCGUCCGCGGACCGAGGAAGACCGUCGCGGUGCGGCGUCGACCGCCCGUCGUGGGCGCGCGUUCGACUCGGGGGGACUGGUUUCAGUGCCCUCGGACCGCGUGCGUCUAGCGGCGGGACGGCCCGGCGUCGCGCCUGGGGUCGGUGGCGAAACGGCCGGCAACCUGUCCGACCCGUCUUGAAACACGGACCAAGGAGUCUAACAUGUGCGCGAGUCGUUGGGCGUUACGAAACCCGAAGGCGCAAUGAAAGUGAAGGCCCGGUCUCCGGCCGGCCUGGGUGGGAUCCGGACGGUCGCGGCCGUCCGGCGCACCACCGGCCCGUCUCGUUCGCCACGUCGAUGAGGCGGAGCAAGAGCGUACACGUUGGGACCCGAAAGAUGGUGAACUAUGCCUGAGUAGGACGAAGCCAGAGGAAACUCUGGUGGAGGUCCGCAGCGAUUCUGACGUGCAAAUCGAUCGUCAAACUUGGGUAUAGGGGCGAAAGACUAAUCGAACCAUCUAGUAGCUGGUUCCUGUCGAAGUUUCCCUCAGGAUAGCUGGCGCUCGUCGUGAGCAGUUUUAUCCGGUAAAGCGAAUGACUGGAGGCCUUGGGGACGAAACGUCCUCAACCUACUCUCAAACUUUAAAUGGGUAAGACGUCCGACUCGCUCG
RNAcentral lists this ribosomal RNA (862 nucleotides) under Postandrilus medoakus. Its description in RNAcentral is "eukaryotic LSU rRNA". The stretch from base 297 to 862 matches the Rfam family "Eukaryotic large subunit ribosomal RNA", at positions 1 to 1093 of the family's 3401-position model. The record is from RNAcentral. Lineage: Eukaryota; Metazoa; Annelida; Clitellata; Crassiclitellata; Lumbricidae.